UGAGGGAAUAUUUGGGGUCAAUGGACGGAAGUCUGAACCAGCCAAGUAGCGUGCAGGAUGACGGCCCUCCGGGUUGUAAACUGCUUUUAGUUGGGAAUAAACGGCGGGACGUGUCCCGCUUUGCAUGUACCAUCAGAAAAAGGACCGGCUAAUUCCGUGCCAGCAGCCGCGGUAAUACGGAAGGUCCGGGCGUUAUCCGGAUUUAUUGGGUUUAAAGGGAGCGUAGGCCGUCGUUUAAGCGUGUUGUGAAAUGCCGCGGCUCAACCGUGGCACUGCAGCGCGAACUGGAUGACUUGAGUUCGCGGGAGGUAGGCGGAAUUCGUGGUGUAGCGGUGAAAUGCUUAGAUAUCGCGAAGAACUCCGAUUGCGAAGGCAGCUUACCGUAGCGUUACUGACGCUGAAGCUCGAAAGUGCGGGGUAUCGAACAGGGAUUAGAUACCCUGGUAGU
Molecule: ribosomal RNA, 448 nt
Filed under: uncultured Prevotella sp.
Lineage: Bacteria; Pseudomonadati; Bacteroidota; Bacteroidia; Bacteroidales; Prevotellaceae
Description: bacterial SSU rRNA
Rfam family: Bacterial small subunit ribosomal RNA
Source: RNAcentral